UGGGACUACUGGGGUUUCUAAUCCUGUUUGCUCCCCACGCUUUCGCGCCUCAGCGUCAGUUGCAGACCAGAAAACCGCCUUCGCCACUGGUGUUCCUCCAUAUCUCUACGCAUUUCACCGCUACACAUGGAAUUCCGCUUUCCUCUUCUGCACUCAAGUCCUCCAGUUUCCAAUGACCGCUUGCGGUUAAGCCGCAAGAUUUCACAUCAGACUUAAAGGACCGCCUGCGCGCGCUUUACGCCCAAUGAUUCCGGACAACGCUUGCCACCUACGUAUUACCGCGGCGGCUGGCAC
This 294-nucleotide unclassified non-coding RNA is filed under the name uncultured fungus. RNAcentral's name for it is "sequence contains ITS1". Lineage: Eukaryota; Fungi. The record is from RNAcentral.